UGGCGCCCAAUGUGGGGCCCGAGAACAGGGGAUCCAGUGAAGGACGCUGCUCAGGGGCCCUAAGAUUGAGAUUGAGGAACAAAGAACGCACUCGACAGAGCAGAGGCUUGCAUUUGACGUAAACCUGCCAUCUUUUCCACACCUCGGUAAGUUGAGCAGCGAUUAUGGGACAGGGCAUCAGUCAGCAUGAGCUAUUCGUGCAAGGUCUCAAGGAGACAUUACAGGCACGAGGGGUAAAGGUUACAGUUAAACAAUUGCUGUUUUUUGAUUAUAUUAAAGAUCUCUGUCCCU
Heterocephalus glaber (naked mole-rat) is the source of this 291-nucleotide non-coding RNA. The record is from Rfam. NCBI's taxonomy places the organism in Eukaryota, Metazoa, Chordata, Mammalia, Rodentia, Bathyergidae.